GGGCGAUUAGCUCAGUGGGAGAGCACCUGCCUUACAAGCAGGGGGUCACUGGUUCAAAUCCAGUAUCGCCCACCA
RNAcentral lists this transfer RNA (75 nucleotides) under Actinomycetes bacterium. RNAcentral's name for it is "Actinobacteria bacterium tRNA-Val". It matches the Rfam family "tRNA". Rfam says of the family: Transfer RNA (tRNA) molecules are approximately 80 nucleotides in length. Their secondary structure includes four short double-helical elements and three loops (D, anti-codon, and T loops). Further hydrogen bonds mediate the characteristic L-shaped molecular structure. tRNAs have two regions of fundamental functional importance: the anti-codon, which is responsible for specific mRNA codon recognition, and the 3' end, to which the tRNAs corresponding amino acid is attached (by aminoacyl-tRNA synthetases). tRNAs cope with the degeneracy of the genetic code in two manners: having more than one tRNA (with a specific anti-codon) for a particular amino acid; and 'wobble' base-pairing, i.e. permitting non-standard base-pairing at the 3rd anti-codon position. The record is from RNAcentral. RNAcentral also lists the same sequence under 1 other name. Lineage: Bacteria; Bacillati; Actinomycetota; Actinomycetes.